AUACGCUGGCGGCGUGCCUAAUACAUGCAAGUCGAACGGGAUUCUUUGAUCAGCUUGCUGAGAGAAGGAUCUAGUGGCGGACGGGUGAGUAACGCGUGGGAAUCUGCCUCUUACUGGGGGAUAACAGUGGGAAACUACUGCUAAUACCGCAUAAGAUCUUCGGAUGAAAGGUGCAACUGCACCGGUAAGAGAUGAGCCCGCGUCCCAUUAGCUAGUUGGUGAGGUAAAGGCUCACCAAGGCGACGAUGGGUAGCCGGCCUGAGAGGGUGAAACGGCCACACUGGGACUGAGACACGGCCCAGACUCCUACGGGAGGCAGCAGUAGGGAAUCUUCCGCAAUGGGCGCAAGCCUGACGGAGCGACGCCGCGUGAGUGAUGAAGGCCUUCGGGUCGUAAAGCUCUGUUCUUGAGGACGAAUAAGCCAGGGAGUGGAAAGCCCUGGUGAUGACUGUACUCAAGGAGAAAGCUCCGGCUAACUACGUG
RNAcentral lists this ribosomal RNA (483 nucleotides) under uncultured bacterium. RNAcentral's name for it is "bacterial SSU rRNA". It matches the Rfam family "Bacterial small subunit ribosomal RNA", at positions 33 to 507 of the family's 1533-position model. The record is from RNAcentral.